GACGAACGCUGGCGGCGUGCCUAAUACAUGCAAGUUGAGCGAUGAAGAUUGGUGCUUGCCCCAAUUUGAAGAGCAGCGAACGGGUGAGUAACGCGUGGGGAAUCUGCCUUUGAGCGGGGGACAACAUUUGGAAACGAAUGCUAAUACCGCAUAACAACUUUAAACAUAAGUUUUAAGUUUGAAAGAUGCAAUUGCAUCACUCAAAGAUGAUCCCGCGUUGUAUUAGCUAGUUGGUGAGGUAAAGGCUCACCAAGGCGAUGAUACAUAGCCGACCUGAGAGGGUGAACGGCCACAUUGGGACUGAGACCCGGCCCAAACUCCUACGGGGGGCAGCAGUAGGGAAUCUUCGGCAAUGGACGAAAGUCUGACCGAGCAACGCCGCGUGAGUGAAGAAGGUUUUCGGAUCGUAAAACUCUGUUGGUAGAGAAGAACGUUGGUGAGAGUGGAAAGCUCAUCAAGUGACGGUAACUACCCAGAAAGGGACGGCUAACUACGUG
RNAcentral lists this ribosomal RNA (497 nucleotides) under uncultured bacterium. Its description in RNAcentral is "partial 16S ribosomal RNA". It matches the Rfam family "Bacterial small subunit ribosomal RNA", at positions 28 to 507 of the family's 1533-position model. The record is from RNAcentral.